Molecule: ribosomal RNA, 442 nt
Filed under: uncultured bacterium
Lineage: Bacteria
Description: partial 16S ribosomal RNA
Rfam family: Bacterial small subunit ribosomal RNA
Source: RNAcentral
CCUACGGGAGGCAGCAGUGGGGAAUAUUGGGCAAUGGGCGCAAGCCUGACCCAGCAACGCCGCGUGAAGGAAGAAGGAUUUCGGGUUGUAAACUUCUUUUAAGAGGGAAGAGCAGAAGACGGUACCUCUUGAAUAAGCCACGGCUAACCACGUGGCAGCAGCCGCGGUAAUACGUAGGGGGCAAGCGUUGUCCGGAUUUACUGGGUGUAAAGGGCGGGGAGGCGGGCUGACAAGUCAGAUGUGAAAUCCCGUGGCUCAACCACGGAACGGCCUUUGAAACUGUCGGUCUUGAGUGUCGGAGAGGCAGGCGGAAUUCCUAGUGUAGCGGUGAAAUGCGUAGAUAUUAGGAGGAACACCAGUGGCGAAGGCGGCCUGCUGGACGACAACUGACGGUGAGGCGCGAAAGCGUGGGGAGCAAACAGGAUUAGAUACCCGGGUAGUC